This 381-nucleotide long non-coding RNA is filed under the name Mytilus galloprovincialis (Mediterranean mussel). The record is from RNAcentral. Lineage: Eukaryota; Metazoa; Mollusca; Bivalvia; Mytilida; Mytilidae.
GUCUGUGUAGUCAUGAUCUGACCAUGUUAACAAUUCUAUAUUUACAAAUUGAACAAGACUUGCUUUCAUCAAAAUGACCUUUAAAUUGGACAACAAACUUGUCCCUUUAUUAAUGUAAUUAAAUGGUCAGCUUUCUAGUUUUGAUGUAUGUCAUAAAGGUCACCAUAUCAUUCCCUUCAAUGUAUUGGAUAUCUUGCAUUUUUCAUUGCUUUGGCCCGAAAUAAGAGGUUGGUAAAAGGGAGCUAUGAACACUAUGAUAGUCUUUCGAAGGGGACGAUAAAUGACUGACCCGUGUUAUGAGAGAGACAUAUUUCUUGCACGUUAAAGACGCUCUUGUACGAUUAUGAAAAAGAGCAGGCUUAUGCCGCUACAAGGCAGCAC